Long non-coding RNA from Corvus hawaiiensis (hawaiian crow), 590 nucleotides. RefSeq lists it as uncharacterized. The transcript has 4 exons. Lineage: Eukaryota; Metazoa; Chordata; Aves; Passeriformes; Corvidae. The record is from RefSeq and is a predicted model, not a curated record.
GGGGGGACGGGGGGGACAGGUGGGGCACAGGUGUGCUCAGGUGUGACGUAGGUACAUACAGGCGUGACACGGGUGUGAUGUAGGUACGUACAGGUGUGCUCAGGUGUGACACAGGCAUGCUCAGGUGUGAUGUAGGUACGUACAGGUGUGCUCAGGUGUGAUACAGGCAUGCUCAGGUGUGAUGUAGGUACAUACAGGUGUGACACAGGCAUGCUCAGGUGUGAUGUAGGUACAUACAGGUGUGCUCAGGUGUGAUGUAGGUACGUACAGGUGUGCUCAGGUGUGACACAGGCAUGCUCAGGUGUGAUGUAGGUACAUACAGGUGUGCUCAGGUGUGACACAGGCAUGCUCAGGUGUGAUGUAGGUACAUACAGGUGUGGCACAGGUGUGACACAGGCGUGCUCAGGUGCGAUGUAGGUACGUACAGGUGGCACAGGCGUGUUCAGGUGUGCUCAGGUGUGAUGUAGGUACGUACAGGUGUGGCACAGGCGUGCUCAGGUGUGCUCAGGUGUGAUGUAGGUACAUACAGGUGUGAUACAGGCAUGCUCAGGUGUGAUGUAGGUACGUACAGGUGUGCUCAGGUGUGACGU